This 402-nucleotide ribosomal RNA is filed under the name uncultured bacterium. RNAcentral's name for it is "bacterial SSU rRNA". It matches the Rfam family "Bacterial small subunit ribosomal RNA", at positions 355 to 774 of the family's 1533-position model. The record is from RNAcentral.
UCGGGAAUUUUGGGCAAUGGGCGAAAGCCUGACCCAGCAACGCCGCGUGAGGGAUGAAGUAUUUCGGUAUGUAAACCUCGAAAGAAUGGGAAGAAUAAAUGACGGUACCAUUUAUAAGCUCCGGCUAACUACGUGCCAGCAGCCGCGGUAAUACGUAGGGAGCAAGCGUUGUUCGGAUUUACUGGGUGUAAAGGGCGCGCAGGCGGGAUAAAAAGUCAGUGGUGAAAUCCUACAGCUUAACUGUAGAACUGCCUUUGAUACUUUUAUUCUUGAGUUCGGGAGAGAGAGACGGAAUUCCAGGUGUAGUGGUGAAAUACGUAGAUAUCUGGAAGAACACCAGUUGCGAAGGCGGUCUCUUGGUCCGACACCGACGCUGAGGCGCGAAAGCGUGGGGAGCAAACA